GGAGGAGAAAAGUUUGUGGUUUAGAGUUUAACACCUUACGCUGUGUUCGUUUGAAGGGAAAUAACUGUUUACGCUGAUAUGCGAGGAUGGAUUUUGGGGAUGGGCAUUGUUCUCAUGCGAUGAUUUGUAAAGAUAAAAAUCCACUGAUUUGCGAGAUUUCACUGUUAAACCCAUCUCGCUAAUUUGAGAGGAUUUACGCUGAUUACUGGACAAAGACUUAUAUACCCUGUACGAAAAUUAAAAUUCCAC
Molecule: long non-coding RNA, 249 nt
Filed under: Vigna radiata
Lineage: Eukaryota; Viridiplantae; Streptophyta; Magnoliopsida; Fabales; Fabaceae
Description: long non-coding RNA (VRAD_LNC002566)
Source: RNAcentral